AUUGAACGCUGGCGGCAUGCUUUACACAUGCAAGUCGAACGGCAGCGCGGGCUUCGGCCUGGCGGCGAGUGGCGAACGGGUGAGUAAUACAUCGGAACGUGCCCAGUAGUGGGGGAUAGCUCGGCGAAAGCCGGAUUAAUACCGCAUACGACCUGAGGGUGAAAGCGGGGGAUCUUCGGACCUCGCGCUAUUUGAGCGGCCGAUGGCAGAUUAGCUAGUUGGUGGGGUAAAGGCCUACCAAGGCGACGAUCUGUAGCUGGUCUGAGAGGACGACCAGCCACACUGGGACUGGGACACGGCCCAGACUCCUACGGGAGGCAGCAGUGGGGAAUUUUGGGCAAUGGGCGAAAGCCUGAUCCAGCAAUGCCGCGUGUGUGAUGAAGGCCUUCGGGUUGUAAAGCACUUUUGGCGGGAACGAAAAGGACUGUGCCAAUACCACGGUUCGAUGACGGUACCCGCAGAAUAAGCACCGGCUAACUACGUG
RNAcentral lists this ribosomal RNA (484 nucleotides) under uncultured bacterium. Its description in RNAcentral is "partial 16S ribosomal RNA". It matches the Rfam family "Bacterial small subunit ribosomal RNA", at positions 29 to 507 of the family's 1533-position model. The record is from RNAcentral.